RNAcentral lists this ribosomal RNA (1065 nucleotides) under uncultured cyanobacterium. Its description in RNAcentral is "bacterial SSU rRNA". It matches the Rfam family "Bacterial small subunit ribosomal RNA", at positions 471 to 1533 of the family's 1533-position model. The record is from RNAcentral. Lineage: Bacteria; Bacillati; Cyanobacteriota.
GACGGUACCUGAAGAAAAAGCAUCGGCUAACUCCGUGCCAGCAGCCGCGGUAAUACGGAGGAUGCAAGCGUUAUCCGGAAUCAUUGGGCGUAAAGGGUCCGCAGGUGGCCAAUCAAGUCGGCUGUUAAAGACCGGGGCUUAACUCCGGGCAGGCAGUGGAAACUGAUUAGCUAGAGUACGGUAGGGGUAGAGGGAAUUCCCAGUGUAGCGGUGAAAUGCGUAGAUAUUGGGAAGAACACCGGUGGCGAAAGCGCUCUACUAGGCCGAAACUGACACUGAGGGACGAAAGCUAGGGUAGCGAAAGGGAUUAGAUACCCCUGUAGUCUUAGCUGUAAACGAUGGAUACUAGGUGUAGCUCGUAUCGACCCCAGCUGUGCCAAAGUUAACGCGAUAAGUAUCCCGCCUGGGGAGUACGCACGCAAGUGUGAAACUCAAAGGAAUUGACGGGGGCCCGCACAAGCGGUGGAGUAUGUGGUUUAAUUCGAUGCAACGCGAAGAACCUUACCAGGGCUUGACAUGUCGCGAAUCUAGCGGAAACGUUAGAGUGCCUUAGGGAAUGCGAACACAGGUGGUGCAUGGCUGUCGUCAGCUCGUGUCGUGAGAUGUUGGGUUAAGUCCCGCAACGAGCGCAACCCUCGUCCUUAGUUGCCAAUAUUAAGUUAGGCACUCUAGGGAUACUGCCGGGGACAACUCGGAGGAAGGUGGGGAUGACGUCAAGUCAGCAUGCCCCUUACGUCCUGGGCGACACACGUACUACAAUGGUUGGGACAAAGGGCAGCAAGCUCGCGAGAGUAAGCGAAUCUCAUCAAACCCAGCCACAGUUCAGAUUGCAGGCUGCAACUCGCCUGCAUGAAGUAGGAAUCGCUAGUAAUCGCAGGUCAGCAUACUGCGGUGAAUUCGUUCCCGGGCCUUGUACACACCGCCCGUCACACCAUGGAAGCUGGCUACGCCCGAAGUCGUUACCCUAACCCUAAGGGGAGGGGGAUGCCGAAGGUAGAGCUAGUGACUGGGGUGAAGUCGUAACAAGGUAGCCGUACCUGAAGGUGUGGCUGGAUCACCUCCUUU